Molecule: unclassified non-coding RNA, 401 nt
Filed under: Hevea brasiliensis (rubber tree)
Lineage: Eukaryota; Viridiplantae; Streptophyta; Magnoliopsida; Malpighiales; Euphorbiaceae
Source: RNAcentral
UGCUAUUGCUUCAUCCAAUUUGAAGGAGGCCGAAGAACCUACCUCGGUCAUUGAAGAGAGAGCUAUACAUAGUGAUGAUGCCGAAAAACUCAAUAAGGUGGUUGUUGAACAACCGUCGGAAUCUUUGUUGGCUGAAACAGGUAGUAAGAAAUUUACUUCCGAAGGAGAUGCAGUUGUGGAUGCUAUUGAAGUCAAUGUCUCAGGGCCAGGGGUUGCUGUUGUUGGAGAUGUGGACGAGAGCAAGGAAGUGGAAGAACAUAUUGAAGGUACCAAUGAUGAAAAUGUGACAUCAGUAAAUGAUGUUGGUGAGACCAGACAACUUAUUGAAGAAGUGGCUAAAAUGACAGUUGAUGAAGUAGAUGCACAGAACCCUAAGCCUGUGGUGGAAGAACAUAUUGAAG